This 492-nucleotide ribosomal RNA is filed under the name uncultured bacterium. RNAcentral describes it as "partial 16S ribosomal RNA". It matches the Rfam family "Bacterial small subunit ribosomal RNA", at positions 29 to 507 of the family's 1533-position model. The record is from RNAcentral.
AGUGAACGCUGGCGGUAGGCCUAACACAUGCAAGUCGAACGGCAGCACAGUAAGAGCUUGCUCUUACGGGUGGCGAGUGGCGGACGGGUGAGGAAUACAUCGGAAUCUACUUUUUCGUGGGGGAUAACGUAGGGAAACUUACGCUAAUACCGCAUACGACCUACGGGUGAGAUCAGGGGAUCUUCGGACCUUUCGCGAUUGAAUGAGCCGAUGUCGGAUUAGCUAGUUGGCGGGGUAAAGGCCCACCAAGGCGACGAUCCGUAGCUGGUCUGAGAGGAUGAUCAGCCACACUGGAACUGAGACACGGUCCAGACUCCUACGGGAGGCAGCAGUGGGGAAUAUUGGACAAUGGGCGCAAGCCUGAUCCAGCCAUACCGCGUGGGUGAAGAAGGCCUUCGGGUUGUAAAGCCCUUUUGUUGGGAAAGAAAAGCAGCAGGUUAAUACCCCGCUGUUCUGACGGUACCAAAAGAAUAAGCACCGGCUAACUUCGUG